CGGCUACACAUGCAGUCGAACGGUAACAGGAAGCAGCUUGCUGCUUUGCUGACGAGUGGCGGACGGGUGAGUAAUGUCUGGGAAACUGCCUGAUGGAGGGGGAUAACUACUGGAAACGGUAGCUAAUACCGCAUAACGUCUUCGGACCAAAGAGGGGGACCUUCGGGCCUCUUGCCAUCGGAUGUGCCCAGAUGGGAUUAGCUUGUUGGUGGGGUAACGGCUCACCAAGGCGACGAUCCCUAGCUGGUCUGAGAGGAUGACCAGCCACACUGGAACUGAGACACGGUCCAGACUCCUACGGGAGGCAGCAGUGGGGAAUAUUGCACAAUGGGCGCAAGCCUGAUGCAGCCAUGCCGCGUGUAUGAAGAAGGCCUUCGGGUUGUAAAGUACUUUCAGCGGGGAGGAAGGCGAUGAGGUUAAUAACCUUGUCCAUUGACGUUACCCGCAGAAGAAGCACCGGCUAACUCCGUGCCAGCAGCCGCGGUAAUACGGAGGGUGCAAGCGUUAAUCGGAAUUACUGGGCGUAAAGCGCACGCAGGCGGCGUGUCAAGUCGGAUGUGAAAUCCCCGGGCUCAACCCGGGAACUGCAUUCGAAACUGGCAUGCUAGAGUCUUGUAGAGGGGGGUAGAAUUCCAGGUGUAGCGGUGAAAUGCGUAGAGAUCUGGAGGAAUACCGGUGGCGAAGGCGGCCCCCUGGACAAAGACUGACGCUCAGGUGCGAAAGCGUGGGGAGCAACAGGAAACCCCCCCC
This 750-nucleotide ribosomal RNA is filed under the name bacterium. Its description in RNAcentral is "bacterial SSU rRNA". It matches the Rfam family "Bacterial small subunit ribosomal RNA", at positions 44 to 787 of the family's 1533-position model. The record is from RNAcentral.